This is a long non-coding RNA of Brassica napus (rape), 2427 nucleotides long. RefSeq lists it as uncharacterized. The transcript is spliced from 2 exons. The record is from RefSeq and is a predicted model, not a curated record. NCBI's taxonomy places the organism in Eukaryota, Viridiplantae, Streptophyta, Magnoliopsida, Brassicales, Brassicaceae.
CUUGCUUUGGCGUAGUCUGCGUGGCUGUGGGAUUCAUAUGUUUUGGGCUUCCGUACUGGUCUUGUUGCUUAGCCGUUGAAACUCAAGCUUAUAAAUUAAUUAAAAUAUUAGUCUCUUUUACAUAACUUACAUGUUUAAAAGUAUAUUGAAGAUUUUGGUAGUUUUUUUCUUUUGACAACAAGAUUUUGGUAGUUUUCUAUCAGUCUUUUGGCUUCUUUUUUUUAAACACGUCUUUUGGCUAUUUCAGAUAUUUUUAUUAUCUGAUUUUUAAAUAUUUUCUGUUAAUUUUUAUUUAAAGUUUUUAUUUUAGGAUUGGGUGCUUUCGGACAUUGGGUAUGACCCAAUUCUAGCCAAAUCCAUGAAGAAUCAAAUCAAAUCCGACCUGAAAAUUAAAAGAAUUUAAAUGAGAUUUAUGAACAUGAUCCGAAGAUCCAAAAAAUAGACCGAACUCGAAUUCUAAAAUGCCGAGGCCUAAAUAUCAACUUUUCCUUUCGGUUCACCAUUAUUAACUGAUCCGUUAUAUCCGUUGGGCUGUGUUUGUUGCAAGGCUCUAGAAACCCAUAGAGAGAAGUGGCUAAUCUAUAUUAUAAUAGAUCAGUUUUUGCUCACUCCUCAGCGCGGCACGUCAUUGUUUUGUGGACCCCACUUUUAAAAAGUGUAAAAAAGCGUCAAGUCCAUGGCUCGAACCCGGGUUAUUGAGAUAUAAACACCAACAUUUAUACCACUAAACUAACUGAUACAUUUGUACAUUGAUGGCCGAACCUAAUAUAUAUUUAUGAAGGUCGAAAGCCCUUGCUUCUUCGGCUUCCUCUGAGGGUUGGACCUACAAGUGUGUUAUGGAUUUCAUUUUUAAAUGAGAUUCAUCACGUUAUAUGAAAAAAACUUAAGUUUGCAACAAUUAUGGUUUUCCUAUAUUAUAAAUUGUUGUAGUUUAAUAUGGGUUCUUUUCAUCUUGUCUCAAACAAGUCUGAGUUACAGAGUUGCGCCGUGUGUAUAUUCGUAAUCUAUUUUUUCACCGGUGAACUCUUCAUGUCCCCAUCUUAAAUCGCUUGAUCAUAAAUGUUCCUGAUUUGUAGCCCCUCUGUAAACCAUAUAUAUAUGAUUCUCAUCUUUGAUGAACCCAAUCUGCAUCUCCACAAAACUCAUUGAUUCCUCUUAGCUUUAACCAUCUUCUAGAAAAUGUUUUUCUCUACCUCUCCAGUUCGUCAAAUCGGCGUCCCGGCGUCCGUCACUCAACCUUCGAGUCUCUCCGUCCUGGUCUUAGUAGUCAGAGCAUAGCCUCUGGCUUCCUCCGCUUCUGGGAUUCCCUGAACUUCAAGAAAGACAGGGAGUUUGUGGGAAUCACGGUUCUUUUCCUCGAUGAAAAGGUAAGUUAAUCUUCGAUCUAUCACACUUAUUUAACAUAAUUGUUUUAAUUUAUUUCCUGAUUCUUUGUUGGAUAAACUAUUUGCAGAUUCUGUGAUUCAUGGGUUUACUCCCAUCGGACGUGCUAAUCAUUACAUGCCAUCUUUGAAAGCAGAUUCCAUUGUGAAAGUCGAUCGUUUUGAGGUUGCUAGGUGCUCCAAGUGAUUGCGAACACAAACCUAGAAAUUGGUAAACAUAGCAUAUUUGGCAGCUCCAAGCAAGAUUACAAUCAGGCAAAUUCAAGUGGAAUGACAUACCAACAACUGAAACUGCCUCUGUCAUGGAUAGUUUUCUCCCAAGAAUUGCAUUGACUAUGGUUUCCGGGAAGAAAAAGAUCUUGCUCCUGAAAAAAGACCGUGACAACCCUGUUGUAAGAUUUUAGUUUGUGCAGAACAAAAAACGUUGAUUUAUUUUCUAUUUAGUAUAGUGAUAGUUGUUGACAAUCAUUAGUUAUUUGCCAAUAUGUUUUUUAUGCGGCAUUUCAGAACUCUCUAUUCCAAGCAGAACAGCAGAUGGAAGCUAAUUUUUCUGGAAGCUCCUCGACUUCAAGACAGAAUCAGAAGAUAGAUGUUGGUGGGAGGUUAAUCAAGGGAAUACUUCAGAGAAGUGAGACGGUCUAGCCAGACUUCAUCUUUUGUACAACCUGAGCAAAGAGUGGAACCCACAAAACACGAGAGAAGAAAAAACAAAACACGAAAUUAACAUAUUCAGAUCUUCUCUCUUGCAUGUCUAACAUCUGGCGGUAACACGAGAGAAGAAAAAACAAAACACGAAAUUAACAUAUUCAGAUCUUCUCUCUUGCAUGUCUAACAUCUGGCGCCGACGAAACUCAACACCCACGGCAGACGAAGCUGAUGCAAGUAAACCUCUCAUCAAUCAUGCUUAAAAUCAAUCUACGCUUUUCAAUCUCACAAACUAAGAAACAAUUUUACCUACAUGAAUCGGGAAAUUAGUGCCCACAUUCCCGACAUAGAGAAAAAAAGGAGUUGAAGUCCUAACAGUUUUUUCAGUAUUAGACUAAAC